This 460-nucleotide ribosomal RNA is filed under the name uncultured bacterium. Its description in RNAcentral is "partial 16S ribosomal RNA". It matches the Rfam family "Bacterial small subunit ribosomal RNA", at positions 338 to 795 of the family's 1533-position model. The record is from RNAcentral.
CCUACGGGUGGCAGCAGUGAGGAAUAUUGGUCAAUGGACGGAAGUCUGAACCAGCCAUGCCGCGUGCAUGAUGACGGCUCUAUGAGUUGUAAACUGCUUUUGUACGAGAAUAAUAGUUCUUGCGUGCAGGGCUUUAAAUGUCUCGUACGAAUAAGGCUCGGCCAACUCCGUGCCAGCAGCCGCGGUAAUACGGAGGAUUCGAGCGUUAUCCGGAUUUCUUGGGUUUAAAGGGUGCGUAGGCUGGUGGAUAAGUUAGAGGUCAAAUGUCGGGGCUUAACCCCGUGCCUGCCUCUGAUACUGUUCGACUAGAGAGCGGAUGCAGCAGGCGGAAUGAGUAGUGUAGCGGUGAAAUGCGUAGAUAUUACUCAGAACACCGAUUGCGCAGGCAGCUUGCUAAUCCGCAUCUGACGCUGAUGCACGAAAGCGUGGGUAGCGAACAGGAUUAGAUACCCGGGUAGUC